RNAcentral lists this transfer RNA (74 nucleotides) under Desulfobacterales bacterium. RNAcentral describes it as "tRNA-Arg". It matches the Rfam family "tRNA". From Rfam's summary of the family: Transfer RNA (tRNA) molecules are approximately 80 nucleotides in length. Their secondary structure includes four short double-helical elements and three loops (D, anti-codon, and T loops). Lineage: Bacteria; Pseudomonadati; Thermodesulfobacteriota; Desulfobacteria; Desulfobacterales. The record is from RNAcentral.
GCGCCUGUAGCUCAGCUGGAUAGAGCAACGGACUUCUAGUCCGUAGGCCACAGGUUCGAAUCCUGUCCGGGGGA